Molecule: ribosomal RNA, 675 nt
Filed under: Staphylococcus aureus
Lineage: Bacteria; Bacillati; Bacillota; Bacilli; Caryophanales; Staphylococcaceae
Description: bacterial SSU rRNA
Rfam family: Bacterial small subunit ribosomal RNA
Source: RNAcentral
UUUAUGGAGAGUUUGAUCCUGGCUCAGGAUGAACGCUGGCGGCGUGCCUAAUACAUGCAAGUCGAGCGAACGGACGAGAAGCUUGCUUCUCUGAUGUUAGCGGCGGACGGGUGAGUAACACGUGGAUAACCUACCUAUAAGACUGGGAUAACUUCGGGAAACCGGAGCUAAUACCGGAUAAUAUUUUGAACCGCAUGGUUCAAAAGUGAAAGACGGUCUUGCUGUCACUUAUAGAUGGAUCCGCGCUGCAUUAGCUAGUUGGUAAGGUAACGGCUUACCAAGGCAACGAUGCAUAGCCGACCUGAGAGGGUGAUCGGCCACACUGGAACUGAGACACGGUCCAGACUCCUACGGGAGGCAGCAGUAGGGAAUCUUCCGCAAUGGGCGAAAGCCUGACGGAGCAACGCCGCGUGAGUGAUGAAGGUCUUCGGAUCGUAAAACUCUGUUAUUAGGGAAGAACAUAUGUGUAAGUAACUGUGCACAUCUUGACGGUACCUAAUCAGAAAGCCACGGCUAACUACGUGCCAGCAGCCGCGGUAAUACGUAGGUGGCAAGCGUUAUCCGGAAUUAUUGGGCGUAAAGCGCGCGUAGGCGGUUUUUUAAGUCUGAUGUGAAAGCCCACGGCUCAACCGUGGAGGGUCAUUGGAAACUGGAAAACUUGAGUGCAGAAGAGGA